Molecule: ribosomal RNA, 435 nt
Filed under: uncultured bacterium
Lineage: Bacteria
Description: partial 16S ribosomal RNA
Rfam family: Bacterial small subunit ribosomal RNA
Source: RNAcentral
AACGAACGCUGGCGGCAUGCCUAACACAUGCAAGUCGAACGAUUGCCUUCGGGUGAUAGUGGCGCACGGGUGCGUAACGCGUGGGAAUCUGCCCUUAGGUUCGGAAUAACAGCUGGAAACGGCUGCUAAUACCGGAUGAUAUCGCGAGAUCAAAGAUUUAUCGCCUGAGGAUGAGCCCGCGUUGGAUUAGGUAGCUGGUGGGGUAAAGGCCUACCAAGCCGACGAUCCAUAGCUGGUCUGAGAGGAUGAUCAGCCACACUGGGACUGAGACACGGCCCAGACUCCUACGGGAGGCAGCAGUGGGGAAUAUUGGACAAUGGGCGCAAGCCUGAUCCAGCAAUGCCGCGUGAGUGAUGAAGGCCCUAGGGUUGUAAAGCUCUUUUACCCGGGAAGAUAAUGACUGUACCGGGAGAAUAAGCCCCGGCUAACUCCGUG